UUCCUACGGGAGGCAGCAGUGGGGAAUCUUGCGCAAUGGUCGCAAGGCUGACGCAGCGACGCCGCGUGGAGGACGAAGGCCUUCGGGUUGUAAACUCCUUUUCUGGGGGACGAAUAAGGUCAGUAGGUAAUGGCUGACCGAUGACGGUACCCCAGGAACAAGCGCCGGCUAACUUCGUGCCAGCAGCCGCGGUAAUACGAAGGGCGCAAGCGUUAUCCGGAAUUACUGGGCGUAAAGGGCGUCUAGGCGGUCGGUCAAGUCAGUCGUGAAAGUCCUUGGCUAAACUGAGGAAAGUCGACCGAUACUGAUCGGCUAGAGGGACGUAGAGGUAAGCGGAACUCUCGGAGUAGCGGUGAAAUGCGUAGAGACCGAGAGGUACCCCGAUGGUGAAGACAGCUUACUGGGCGUCUCCUGACGCUGAAGCGCUAAGGCCAGGGGAGCGAAGGGGAUUAGAUACCCCCGUAGUCCUGGCUUCAAACUAUGUGGGCUUGGUGUCGGCU
RNAcentral lists this ribosomal RNA (500 nucleotides) under uncultured KB1 group bacterium. RNAcentral describes it as "bacterial SSU rRNA". It matches the Rfam family "Bacterial small subunit ribosomal RNA", at positions 336 to 828 of the family's 1533-position model. Lineage: Bacteria; Candidatus Calescibacteriota. The record is from RNAcentral.